GCGGGGUGGGGUGGGGGGAUCCAUAAGCAGGAGGAUGAUGGAUAGUUAAUUAAAUUUCAUGAAUCUGCACCUUUUUCCUUAAAAUCACAUCUAUUUUUUAAUAUGUUUGAACCAACAUGUUCUCUAAAAUAAAUGCAACAAAAAUGAGACGCAUAUUUUUCUUAUUUUUGUUUUUAAUAAUCAUUUGAAUAUACUGAUUUAAAUUUUAAAUAUACUAUUUGAAAAUUUUCCACAUGAAGUACUCAGUUAACUCGCCGGAAGUGUUGAAUUUAGUAUUUCAAUACAUUGAAUAGAGUAGAUCAACAUUUCAAAUCUACUAGUUCA
This 324-nucleotide long non-coding RNA is filed under the name Setaria viridis. Its description in RNAcentral is "long non-coding RNA (SVIR_LNC010235)". The record is from RNAcentral. Lineage: Eukaryota; Viridiplantae; Streptophyta; Magnoliopsida; Poales; Poaceae.